Molecule: ribosomal RNA, 442 nt
Filed under: uncultured bacterium
Lineage: Bacteria
Description: bacterial SSU rRNA
Rfam family: Bacterial small subunit ribosomal RNA
Source: RNAcentral
AUGAACGCUGGCGGCGUGUCUAAGGCAUGCAAGUCGAAUGGGUUAGACCCAUGGCAAACGGGAGCGUAACACAUUGGUAACUUACCCCAAAGUUCAGAAUAACCCGCCGAAAGGCGGGAUAAUACUGGAUGUGCCCAGCAUUCGUAAGAGUGUUGUGUAAAGAUUUAUCGCUUUGGGAGAGGCCUAUGGUCCAUCAGCUAGUUGGUAAGGUAAUGGCUUACCAAGGCUAUGACGGAUAGCGGGUGUGAGAGCACGACCCGCCUCACUGGGACUGAGAACUGCCCAGACUCCUACGGGAGGCUGCAGUCAAGAAUAUUCCUCAAUGGACGAAAGUCUGAAGGAGCGACGCCGCGUGAUCGAUGAAGUCCUUCGGGAUGUAAAGAUCUUUUAUUAGGGAAGAAUAAAUGACGGUACCUAAUGAAUAAGAGGUUGCUAACUCUGU